RNAcentral lists this non-coding RNA (77 nucleotides) under Paraburkholderia sp. BL8N3. Lineage: Bacteria; Pseudomonadati; Pseudomonadota; Betaproteobacteria; Burkholderiales; Burkholderiaceae. The record is from RNAcentral.
UCGAACCGUAUGCGGGGAAAUUCGCAUGUGCGGUUCUUCGGGCGCCGCGUUUCCGGGAGGCAACGCGGCUACCCUCU